This 99-nucleotide microRNA precursor is filed under the name Brugia malayi. RNAcentral's name for it is "microRNA Bm16823 precursor". Lineage: Eukaryota; Metazoa; Nematoda; Chromadorea; Rhabditida; Onchocercidae. The record is from RNAcentral.
AGUGGUAUAGCUGGGUCUUGAGGUAGCACUAUUCCUAAUUGUCUGAGAAAGCACCAGAUUGACUUCCAAAGUGGUUGUACCUGUUUACAUUCCCACCAG